This 253-nucleotide ribosomal RNA is filed under the name uncultured bacterium. Its description in RNAcentral is "partial 16S ribosomal RNA". It matches the Rfam family "Bacterial small subunit ribosomal RNA", at positions 524 to 776 of the family's 1533-position model. The record is from RNAcentral.
UACGUAGGGACCGAGCGUUGUCCGGAUUCAUGGGGCGUAAAGAGUUCGUAGGCGGCUGCUCAAGUCGAAUGUGAAAACUCGAGGCUCAACCUCGAGCCUGCAUUCGAUACUGGGCGGCUAGAGUCUGGUAGGGGGAUCUGGAAUUCCUGGUGUAGCGGUGGAAUGCGCAGAUAUCAGGAGGAACACCGGUGGCGAAGGCUGGAUCCUGGGCCAGUACUGACGCUGAGGAGCGAAAGCGUGGGGAGCAAACGGG